This 120-nucleotide ribosomal RNA is filed under the name Keteleeria pubescens. Lineage: Eukaryota; Viridiplantae; Streptophyta; Pinopsida; Pinales; Pinaceae. The record is from RNAcentral.
GGGUGCGAUCAUACCAGCGUUAUUGCACCGGAUCCCAUCAGGACUCCGCAGUUAAGCGCGCUUGGGCUAGAGUAGUACUGGGAUGGGUGACCUCCCGGGAAGUCCCAGUGUUGCACUCUC